Rosa chinensis is the source of this 2351-nucleotide RNA transcript. It is a transcript of the gene named ras-related protein RABB1c, with no coding region annotated. The record is from RefSeq and is a predicted model, not a curated record. NCBI's taxonomy places the organism in Eukaryota, Viridiplantae, Streptophyta, Magnoliopsida, Rosales, Rosaceae. The transcript has 10 exons.
GGGAUUCGAACCCGGGUGUGGGGGUUCCACACCGGGUCUGCAGAUCCCUUUGAUCAGUUUAAUCUGAUGGUUUAGAGGGUCAAAGAACUUCAAUUGCAUUUGAUUAGUGAUGCUUUCUACAAUAUUUCACCUAGCUCAUAAAUGCAGAACUCGACUUGCCCUGUACAUUCAUUUCAUUUAGAUUGAUUAGUGUUGCUUUAGAUUAAUUGCAGGACUCUCUCUUUACUGAAAUGAUGCUCUGUUUAGUAUCCCUAGUUUUGAUAGUAAACGUUCCAAUCAGAACCAGUGGCUCUUCCAAGUGUGAUUAUCAUUUUUUGGUUAUUUUUGCAAUCUCAUCAUUGUUGGUUAUUUUUGCAAUUUGAAUUCCAUUCAUGCUUCUUCUUUAUUUUCACUUACUACCUCAUGGGAUGGUUUAUUUUUCUACUGUUAAGUGCAGAUUGGUAACAAAGUUGAUGAAGUACUUGAUGAGACUCUUAGGCUUGAGGUUCAUGCCAGUGGGGAAAGGCAUACACCUGAUGAAAGUUCUGCUGUUAUGGAUACUUCUGAGGGUCUCGUUAACGUAAGAAUGACUGACUAAAGAGAAGUACCAGGCAAUGCUGAAGAAACUUAGCAGCAGGUUUGUAUGCACGUCAGAUUGUCUGUUCUUCAAGCAGCCAAGUUGGAAACUUGAAGAACCUGCGCUAUGGCGCUUGGGCGAAACAAGUAAUUGUGUUGCUGAGUUUGGAGCAUUAUGCAACAAAUUCUAAAUUCAUUAAUGGGGCAUUGGCUUCGUCAUUAAUGGACAGGUUGGUUGUUUUCUAUGCUCCAUAUGCUUGAGGUACUGGCUAGUGAGGGAAAGGUUUGUGUGGCUUAUUGCACGGUGUCCUGUCCGACAGAAUAUAUGUCUUUCUGGACUGUGUAUACAUGAAUUUAUGUGAAGAGCCAAAGAUUUCCCUUAGUUUCCAAGGUGGAGAAUCUGAUUUAACAUGAAUAUUCAAAUCCUACUACAAUGGACAGCACCGUGGAAGUUCUAGUUUCUUAUGCCCUGUUGGAGUUGUAUAAUGGCAUUCAUGCGUUGUCUAUUUGCACAUAAAUUGCUGAAUUUCAUCUAGUAGAAGCUCAACUGUAGGCUUUGAAGGAUCUAAUUUCAAUUCUACCUAAAUCUGUCAUCAACUGCCCCGGAUGGACCUGGUUCCAAGUCUCCUAAGUCCAAGAGGUUAACAUGUCCAUGGUUGUGUACUGGGUCCUAGAUUUCGGGGCAGCAAAACAUAAUCUGGUGGUCAACAACAUAACAUUCUAGUUCAUGGACCAAAAUUCCUAGUCUGAUGAACCCUGCCAGAUCCAUCUCUCUUCAUCUGUAGAGUCCACUACUGCAAAUGGCAAUUCCUGCCAUAUCUCUUGGAGUGUUGCUAAAUCAAGUGAAUUUGAUGGCUCAAAGUUUUGUUCUAUGGGGUUGAGGUUGUAGCAAGCUUUCUCAAGCAAGCUCGGAUUUUUUUCUUGAACGUUCUGCUGGUGUGGAUGCUAGAUCCAAGAAGCUUCUGGACGCACUGGUUGAGAUUGUUAUAGAGGGCUUCCAGUCCGUGCACGAUUUGACUAUUGGUGUGUUGGGUUUGGAGCUAGGAUGAUCACCAUCGAUAACAAACCAAUCAAGCUCCACGGCUGGUCAAGAGUCAUUCAGAUCCAUUACACGAUCCUACUAUAGAAGAGGAGCCGCUGGCGCUUUGCUUGUCUAUGUCAUCACCAGGAGAGAAACUUUUAAUCAAUUGGCUAGCUGGCUAGAGGAUGAGAGGCAGCAUGCAAAUGCAAACGUGACCAUAAUGUUAAUUGGUAAUAAGUGUGAUCUUGCUCAUAGACUAGCUGUGAGCACACAGGAAGGGGAGCAAUUUGCAACGGAACAUGGAUUGAUCUUCAUGGAGGCCUCUGCUAAAACUGCUCAGAAUGUUGAGGAGGCAUUCAUAAAAACUGCUGCAACCAUAUACAAGAAGAUUCAAGAUGGCGUUUUUGAUGUAUUAAAUGAGGUACUACUACUUGUGCGUUUUCUCCAGCAUGAGUAUAAUCUUGGCCGACCUUUCAACCAAGCUUGAAGAGGAUUGAGCUCUGUGCAAUUGGAACCAAAAUGGACGAUACCAGCUCUGUUGGCAUCAAAUGUGGUCUCGAUUACUGUUAUUUUCGAGUUACCUAUAUGCUACUAGCUUAUGAUGUUCGAGCACUAGCUUUUUGUUGAUAGUUUGUUACUUUUCUAGCUGUUACUAAUGUUCUUGUCUCUGACAUGUCUAGCUGCCAUAUUUUAUUUUUUUAUUUUUUAUCGGAACCUUACUGCCAUGUUGAAUGGAAAAUUUUUGGAGAUGUCAGAAAUUUUGAAGUUUUUCCUA